GAUGAACGCUGGCGGCGUGCCUAAUACAUGCAAGUCGAGCGAACAGAUGAGGAGCUUGCUCCUCUGACGUUAGCGGCGGACGGGUGAGUAACACGUGGAUAACCUACCUAUAAGACUGGGAUAACUUCGGGAAACCGGAGCUAAUACCGGAUAAUAUAUUGAACCGCAUGGUUCAAUAGUGAAAGACGGUUUUGCUGUCACUUAUAGAUGGAUCCGCGCCGCAUUAGCUAGUUGGUAAGGUAACGGCUUACCAAGGCAACGAUGCGUAGCCGACCUGAGAGGGUGAUCGGCCACACUGGAACUGAGACACGGUCCAGACUCCUACGGGAGGCAGCAGAAGGGAAUCUUCCGCAAUGGGCGAAAGCCUGACGGAGCAAAGCCGCGUGAGUGAUGAAGGUCUUCGGAUCGUAAAACUCUGUUAUUAGGGAAGAACAAAUGUGUAAGUAACUAUGCACGUCUUGACGGUACCUAAUCAGAAAGCCACGGCUAACUACGUG
This 497-nucleotide ribosomal RNA is filed under the name uncultured bacterium. Its description in RNAcentral is "partial 16S ribosomal RNA". It matches the Rfam family "Bacterial small subunit ribosomal RNA", at positions 28 to 507 of the family's 1533-position model. The record is from RNAcentral.